GUGGGUGUAGCUCAGUGGUAGGGCACUUACCUAGCACAUGAGGGGCACUGGGUUCGAUCCUCAGCACCACA
RNAcentral lists this transfer RNA (71 nucleotides) under Ictidomys tridecemlineatus (thirteen-lined ground squirrel). Its description in RNAcentral is "Spermophilus tridecemlineatus (thirteen-lined ground squirrel) tRNA". It matches the Rfam family "tRNA". Rfam says of the family: Transfer RNA (tRNA) molecules are approximately 80 nucleotides in length. Lineage: Eukaryota; Metazoa; Chordata; Mammalia; Rodentia; Sciuridae. The record is from Rfam by way of RNAcentral.